Molecule: long non-coding RNA, 1304 nt
Filed under: Felis catus (domestic cat)
Lineage: Eukaryota; Metazoa; Chordata; Mammalia; Carnivora; Felidae
Description: lncRNA (ENSFCAG00000052263.1)
Source: RNAcentral
AUGAGUUCCUCUGGACGAUUUUCUCAAGCAAAUGAAAUCGGCGGCUUCUCCAUUCAGGAUUUCCACCCGUUGGUUACAGAGCUGGAAAUAGGGGAGUUCCCAUCCUCCUCGCGCUGCGUGCGAUUGCGGCCGCUCCUCUUUAUUCUACUCUCUGCGGAGGCCCGCGCCCGUCCCGGGAGGCGCCUCUGCCCGGAAGGCGGCCCGACCAGUGCCCCGCGCCUGGUCCGCGUCCUAGCCCACCUUCGCCCCUCGUCGUCGUCUCCCAGACGAAAGCCCCGAAUGGGAACGCUGAGUGUUUGUACCCACUGCGCCGCAGCUGGUCCCGGCACUUGCAAAAUGUGGCUCUUGAGUCCCGGGUGAAUUCUCAUUAACUUGCAAGAUUCCUGCAACAACAGCUACCCUUCUCCAGAGGCCACCCUGACUGCUUUUAUUCUUUUUAUUUCUUUAUUUUGUAUUUUUAAAAAUGCUAAAACAAAUCCGUUGUCCUGAGUCCUUGAAUUUUUGCCCAGUAAAUAUUAGACCAGUAGAGCUCAGAGUCCACUAAUACAGGUGACAAGUGGAUCUAAUAUGGGGGGGGGGUGGCAGGAAGGAAAAAACACUUUAGGUAUUUAUCUUUAGGCCUUUCACAUUUAAAAAAAAAUUUAGUAUCUUAAAUAGAUAUGUGGACUAAGCAAUCAGAAGCAUAUUUUGAAUCACUCUCAUAAGUGAUAUACCUCACAGGAACACUAUUAAAAGUUUAUCUAGUGGCAUCAGAGAUAGAGGGUAAUUCCAAGUUGGGAGGUCUAGAUUGCGUUGUAUGUUAGUGAAAUGUUUCCUAGAAGAUUCUGGAAGUAUAGUUGAUCCUGGGAUGGUCAUUCAUUCAAAAGUAAGCUGGUUCUAUAGAGUUCACUUUUUCUUAUGGUUAAAACUUAAUUCACAAUUUCAGAAUUCUUUUUAGUAGCUCUUUCAUCUGAAAAAGUCACCUCUUCUCCUCUAAGCCUCAUUCAAGUACUUUUGGAACUAUAAAGCCUUCUUCUUUCCUUGACUACUCAAGUUAAAACAGUCUGUCUCUCUACGCUCCUCUGCAGAAGUGCCUUUCAACCAUUUUUUUUAACCUUGUCUCAUAGUAAAGCAUAUACGUUAACUUCAUACAGCUGUCCUCCAAAAAUGUUAUGAAAAAAUAUAUUUUACUGCAUGGAAUACACACUGAUAUCUACCCCAUUUUCUCCUAUUAUUAUUAUCAUUAGUAUUACUACUACUAUUACUACUCUUUGGUAAUAGUAGUAACUCAAUAAAUGGUCCUAACCCAAUAAAUUUAUAAAGCA